UACAGAGGGUGCGAGCGUUUAAUCGGAAUUACUGGGCGUAAAGCGUGCGUAGACGGUUAUUUAAGUCGGGUGUGAAAGCCCCGGGCUCAACCUGGGAAUUGCAUUCGAGACUGAAUAGCUAGGGUACGGUAGAGGGAAGUGGAAUUUCCGGUGUAGCGGUGAAAUGCGCAGAUAUCAGGAGGAACACCGGUGGCGAAGGCGGUUCUCUGGGCAUGUCCUGACGCUGAUGCGCGACAGCGUGGGGAGCAAACAGG
Molecule: ribosomal RNA, 254 nt
Filed under: uncultured bacterium
Lineage: Bacteria
Description: partial 16S ribosomal RNA
Rfam family: Bacterial small subunit ribosomal RNA
Source: RNAcentral